UACGGAGGGUGCAAGCGUUAUCCGGAUUCACUGGGUUUAAAGGGUACGUAGGCGGUCUUGUAAGUCAAUGGUGAAAUCUAGCAGCUCAACUGCUAACGUGCCAUUGAUACUACAAGACUUGAGUAUAGUCGAGGUAAGCGGAAUUCCAGGUGUAGCGGUGAAAUGCGUAGAUAUCUGGAGGAACACCAAUGGCGAAGGCAGCUUACUGGACGACAACUGACGCUGAGGCACGAAAGCGUGGGUAGCGAAAGGG
RNAcentral lists this ribosomal RNA (253 nucleotides) under uncultured bacterium. Its description in RNAcentral is "partial 16S ribosomal RNA". It matches the Rfam family "Bacterial small subunit ribosomal RNA", at positions 524 to 776 of the family's 1533-position model. The record is from RNAcentral.